GACGAACCGUCCUAACGUUGUUCGGAAUCACUGGGCUUAAAGGGCGCGUAGGCGGCUUGCCAAGUCAGGGGUGAAAUCCUGCAGCUUAACUGUAGAAGAGCCUUUGAUACUGGCGAGCUCGAGGGAGGUAGGGGUGCGUGGAACUUCUGGUGGAGCGGUGAAAUGCGUUGAUAUCAGAAGGAACGCCGGUGGCGAAAGCGACGCACUGGAUCUUUUCUGACGCUGAGGCGCGAAAGCUAGGGGAGCAAACGGG
Molecule: ribosomal RNA, 253 nt
Filed under: uncultured bacterium
Lineage: Bacteria
Description: partial 16S ribosomal RNA
Rfam family: Bacterial small subunit ribosomal RNA
Source: RNAcentral